AGAAGCAUCGGUGAUGCGUAGGGUGCGAACGUUAUCCGGAUUUACUGGGCGUAUAGAGAUGCGUAGGCGGCUUAUUAAGUCAGUGGUGAAAGCCAACAGCUCAACUGUUGAACUGCCAUUGAUACUGAUAAGCUUGAGUACAGACGAGGUAGGCGGAAUUGAAGAUGUAGCGGUGAAAUGCAUAGAUAUCUUCAAGAACACCGAUUGCGUAGGCAGCUUACUAGGCUGUAACUGACGCUGAGGCACGAAAGCGUGGGGAGCG
RNAcentral lists this ribosomal RNA (262 nucleotides) under uncultured bacterium. Its description in RNAcentral is "partial 16S ribosomal RNA". It matches the Rfam family "Bacterial small subunit ribosomal RNA", at positions 510 to 770 of the family's 1533-position model. The record is from RNAcentral.